AUUUCGUUAGAUCACCGAAGUUAAGCAUCAUUGGGCGCGGUCAGUACUUGGGUGGGUGACCACCUGGGAACACCGCGUGCCGUU
RNAcentral lists this ribosomal RNA (84 nucleotides) under Caerostris darwini. Lineage: Eukaryota; Metazoa; Arthropoda; Arachnida; Araneae; Araneidae. The record is from RNAcentral.